Molecule: long non-coding RNA, 282 nt
Organism: Mugil cephalus (flathead mullet)
Lineage: Eukaryota; Metazoa; Chordata; Actinopteri; Mugiliformes; Mugilidae
Exons: 3
Source: RefSeq, a predicted model, not a curated record
CAGCUGUGUGGUUUUCUGGAGAGUCCAGACUGUAGACUGGAGACUCUGAGGUUGAAGAGCUGCAGUUUGUCAGAGAUCAGCUGUGAUUCUCUGGGACCAGCUCUGAAGUCCAACCCCUCCCAUUUGACACAUCUCUACCUGACUAACAACAAGCUGAAGGAUUCAGGAGUGAAGCAGCUGUGUGGUUUUCUGGAGAGUCCAGACUGUAGACUGGAGACUCUGAAUUUAUGGAGCUGCAGUUUGUCAAAGAUCAGCUGUGAUUGUCUGGGGCCAGCUCUGAAG